CCUACGGGAGGCAGCAGUGGGGAAUUUUGGACAAUGGGCGAAAGCCUGAUCCAGCAAUGCCGCGUGUGGGAAGAAGGCCUUCGGGUUGUAAACCACUUUUGUACGGAACGAAACGGUUCGCUUUAAUACAGUGGGCUAAUGACGGUACCGUAAGAAUAAGCACCGGCUAACUACGUGCCAGCAGCCGCGGUAAUACGUAGGGUGCGAGCGUUAAUCGGAAUUACUGGGCGUAAAGCGUGCGCAGGCGGUUAUAUAAGACAGUUGUGAAAUCCCCGGGCUCAACCUGGGAAUUGCAUCUGUGACUGUAUAGCUAGAGUACGGUAGAGGGGGAUGGAAUUCCGCGUGUAGCAGUGAAAUGCGUAGAUAUGCGGAGGAACACCGAUGGCGAAGGCAAUCCCCUGGACCUGUACUGACGCUCAUGCACGAAAGCGUGGGGAGCAAACAGGAUUAGAUACCCUGGUAGUCCACGCCCUAAACGAUGUCAACUGGUUGUUGGGUGCAUUAGUACUCAGUAACGAAGCUAACGCGUGAAGUUGACCGCCUGGGGAGUACGGCCGCAAGGUUGAAACUCAAAGAUAGUACGCGNGNGAGNGCGACGACGACGACGACGGAGGAGG
This 617-nucleotide ribosomal RNA is filed under the name uncultured bacterium. Its description in RNAcentral is "bacterial SSU rRNA". It matches the Rfam family "Bacterial small subunit ribosomal RNA", at positions 338 to 944 of the family's 1533-position model. The record is from RNAcentral.